CAGAGGGUUACUGCUAUCGAGAUUCGACUAAGCCAUGCGAGUUGAAUGUUCUUCGUGAACAUGGCGGACUGCUCAGUAACACGUGGACAACCUACCCUUGGGUCCGGCAUAAUCCUGGGAAACUGGGAAUAAUUCCGGAUAGGUCACCGAUGCUGGAAUGCGCGGUGGCCGAAAGCUCCGGCGCCCGAGGAUGGGUCUGCGGCCUAUCAGGGUUGUAGUGGGUGUAACGUACCUACUAGCCUACGACGGGUACGGGUUGUGAGAGCAAGAGCCCGGAGAUGGAUUCUGAGACACGAAUCCAGGCCCUACGGGGUGCAGCAGGCGCGAAAACUUUACAAUGCGGGAAACCGUGAUAAGGGGAUCUCGAGUGCCAGCAUAUAAUGUUGGCUGUCCAGAUGCCUAAAAAGCAUCUGUUAGCAAGGGCCGGGCAAGACCGGUGCCAGCCGCCGCGGUAACACCGGCGGCCCGAGUGGUAACCGCUAUUAUUGGGUCUAAAGGGUCUGUAGCCGGCCAGGUAAGUCCCUUGGGAAAUCUGGCAGCUCAACUGUCAGGCUGCUAGGGGAUACUGUUUGGCUUGGGACCGGGAGAGGUGAGAGGUACCUUGGGGGUAGGGGUGAAAUCUUGUGAUCCUCGAGGGACCACCAGUGGCGAAGGCGUCUCACCAGAACGGGUCCGACGGUAAGGGACGAAAGCUAGGGGCACGAACCGGAUUAGAUACCCGGGUAGUCCUAGCCGUAAACGAUGCUCGCUAGGUGUCAGUCACGGUGCGACCGUGAUUGGUGCCGUAGGGAAGCCGUGAAGCGAGCCACCUGGGAAGUAUGGCCGCAAGGCUGAAACUUAAAGGAAUUGGCGGGGGAGCACUACAWCGGGURSAGCCUGCGGUUUAAUUG
Molecule: ribosomal RNA, 890 nt
Filed under: uncultured Methanosaeta sp.
Lineage: Archaea; Methanobacteriati; Methanobacteriota; Methanomicrobia; Methanotrichales; Methanotrichaceae
Description: bacterial SSU rRNA
Rfam family: Archaeal small subunit ribosomal RNA
Source: RNAcentral